This 579-nucleotide ribosomal RNA is filed under the name Isochrysis sp. MNURFJ12. Its description in RNAcentral is "SSU rRNA". It matches the Rfam family "Eukaryotic small subunit ribosomal RNA", at positions 575 to 1159 of the family's 1831-position model. Lineage: Eukaryota; Haptophyta; Isochrysidales; Isochrysidaceae. The record is from RNAcentral.
CGCGGUAAUUCCAGCUCCAAUAGCGUAUAUUAAAGUUGUUGCAGUUAAAACGCUCGUAGUCGGAUUUCGGGGCGGGCCCGCCGGUCUGCCGAUGGGUAUGCACUGGCGGGCGCGUCCUUCCUCCCGGAGACGGCUGCUACUCUUAACUGAGCGGUGGUCGGAGACGGGAUAUUUACUUUGAAAAAAUCAGAGUGUUUCAAGCAGGCAGUCGCUCUUGCAUGGAUUAGCAUGGGAUAAUGAAAUAGGACUCUGGUGCUAUUUUGUUGGUUUCGAGCACCGGAGUAAUGAUUAACAGGGACAGUCAGGGGCACUCGUAUUCCGCCGAGAGAGGUGAAAUUCUCAGACCAGCGGAAGACGAACCACUGCGAAAGCAUUUGCCAGGGAUGUUUUCACUGAUCAAGAACGAAAGUUAGGGGAUCGAAGACGAUCAGAUACCGUCGUAGUCUUAACCAUAAACCAUGCCGACUAGGGAUUGGAGGAUGUUCCAUUUGUGACUCCUUCAGCACCUUUCGGGAAACUAAAGUCUUUGGGUUCCGGGGGGAGUAUGGUCGCAAGGCUGAAACUUAAAGGAAUUGACGG